This 258-nucleotide unclassified non-coding RNA is filed under the name Asarum caudatum. Its description in RNAcentral is "partial ITS1". The record is from RNAcentral. Lineage: Eukaryota; Viridiplantae; Streptophyta; Magnoliopsida; Piperales; Asaraceae.
UUCGAAAGUCAAAAGACCCCCGACUUGGGUUCCAAAGGAAAACCUUAAGGCGGGGCGUCGACACGUCCAUCUGUCAAUCGCGGCUAAUAAGCCAACAACCACCACUAGACGUAUCGCAGUCCACCAAAGGUCCAAAAUUUAGGCAAACCGCACAAGGAUUUGAACGGAUAGCCAAUCUCCGCGUCCUAUAUCCACUUCUAUUGAGAUGGAUGUGGGAGCGACGUGUAGCAUGACGCCCAAGCAGGUGUGCCCUCAACC